CAACAUACUGGUCGCAGAUAUGAUAGAAUCUCAUGGGAGGAUCCCACCCAUAAGUGUUCGGACUAACUAUGCCCUGGGGAUUGCAACUCUUUUUCCAUAUCUUCAGGAUCCAUACUCAAAAAAUGGUUAUGAACAUUACUAUAACCCUGAGGCCAACAGUGGCUAUCUUGCUUGGAGACUCAAGACUGUCCAACGUAACACC
Cyprinodon tularosa is the source of this 202-nucleotide long non-coding RNA. RefSeq lists it as uncharacterized. NCBI's taxonomy places the organism in Eukaryota, Metazoa, Chordata, Actinopteri, Cyprinodontiformes, Cyprinodontidae. The transcript is spliced from 3 exons. The record is from RefSeq and is a predicted model, not a curated record.